AGGAGUGGCGAACGGGUGAGUAACACGUGGGUAACCUGCCCAUCAGAAGGGGAUAACACUUGGAAACAGGUGCUAAUACCGUAUAACAGUAGAAACCGCAUGGUUUCUAUUUGAAAGGCGCUUUUGCGUCACUGAUGGAUGGACCCGCGGUGCAUUAGCUAGUUGGUGAGGUAACGGCUCACCAAGGCAACGAUGCAUAGCCGACCUGAGAGGGUGAUCGGCCACAUUGGGACUGAGACACGGCCCAAACUCCUACGGGAGGCAGCAGUAGGGAAUCUUCGGCAAUGGACGAAAGUCUGACCGAGCAACGCCGCGUGAGUGAAGAAGGUUUUCGGAUCGUAAAACUCUGUUGUUAGAGAAGAACAAGGAUGAGAGUAAAACGUUCAUCCCUUGACGGUAUCUAACCAGAAAGCCACGGCUAACUACGUGCCAGCAGCCGCGGUAAUACGUAGGUGGCAAGCGUUGUCCGGAUUUAUUGGGCGUAAAGCGAGCGCAGGCGGUUUCUUAAGUCUGAUGUGAAAGCCCCCGGCUCAACCGGGGAGGGUCAUUGGAAACUGGGAAACUUGAGUGCAGAAGAGGAGAGUGGAAUUCCAUGUGUAGCGGUGAAAUGCGUAGAUAUAUGGAGGAACACCAGUGGCGAAGGCGGCUCUCUGGUCUGUAACUGACGCUGAGGCUCGAAAGCGUGGGGAGCAAACAGGAUUAGAUACCCUGGUAGUCCACGCCGUAAACGAUGAGUGCUAAGUGUUGGAGGGUUUCCGCCCUUCAGUGCUGCAGCUAACGCAUUAAGCACUCCGCCUGGGGAGUACGACCGCAAGGUUGAAACUCAAAGGAAUUGACGGGGGCCCGCACAAGCGGUGGAGCAUGUGGUUUAAUUCGAAGCAACGCGAAGAACCUUACCAGGUCUUGACAUCCUUUGACCACUCUAGAGAUAGAGCUUCCCCUUCGGGGGCAAAGUGACAGGUGGUGCAUGGUUGUCGUCAGCUCGUGUCGUGAGAUGUUGGGUUAAGUCCCGCAACGAGCGCAACCCUUAUUGUUAGUUGCCAUCAUUUAGUUGGGCACUCUAGCGAGACUGCCGGUGACAAACCGGAGGAAGGUGGGGAUGACGUCAAAUCAUCAUGCCCCUUAUGACCUGGGCUACACACGUGCUACAAUGGGAAGUACAACGAGUCGCGAAGUCGCGAGGCUAAGCUAAUCUCUUAAAGCUUCUCUCAGUUCGGAUUGUAGGCUGCAACUCGCCUACAUGAAGCCGGAAUCGCUAGUAAU
This 1263-nucleotide ribosomal RNA is filed under the name Enterococcus malodoratus. RNAcentral's name for it is "bacterial SSU rRNA". It matches the Rfam family "Bacterial small subunit ribosomal RNA", at positions 91 to 1342 of the family's 1533-position model. Lineage: Bacteria; Bacillati; Bacillota; Bacilli; Lactobacillales; Enterococcaceae. The record is from RNAcentral.